Molecule: transfer RNA, 56 nt
Filed under: Ascaris suum (pig roundworm)
Lineage: Eukaryota; Metazoa; Nematoda; Chromadorea; Rhabditida; Ascarididae
Description: tRNA-Leu
Source: RNAcentral
GUAUAUAUAGUAUAAAAAAUAUGAUAGAUUUAGGUUCUAUAGAUGGUUUAUAUACU